RNAcentral lists this unclassified non-coding RNA (367 nucleotides) under uncultured Verrucomicrobiae bacterium. RNAcentral describes it as "contains 16S-23S intergenic spacer region". The record is from RNAcentral. Lineage: Bacteria; Pseudomonadati; Verrucomicrobiota; Verrucomicrobiia.
UCUGGGUUUAUCCCAGCGGUCUCGUUAGAAAGGUGUAACUAACGACGGGGGUUGCGCUCGUUGCGGGACUUAACCCAACACCUCACGGCACGAGCUGACGACAGCCAUGCAGCAUCUGUGCACGCUACCCUUGCGGGUUCGUUACGCUUUCACGCUCCUACUACGUGCAUGUCAAGGCCAGGUAAGGUUCUUCGCGUUGCAUCGAAUUAAGCCACAUACUCCACCGCUUGUGCAGGCCCCCGUCAAUUCCUUUGAGUUUUAAUCUUGCGACCGUACUCCCCAGGCGGCACGUUUAUCGCGUUAGCUUCGCCACAAGAGGGGUCGACUCCUCUUACAGCAAACGUGCACCGUUUACAGCUAGGACUAC